GUAGGUGAACCUGCGGAAGGAUCAUUAACACGUGAUACUCACGUAUUAAAACCCACCGAGAAAUAGUUAUAUUAUCCUAGUUUCAGAUGCAGGCAGACUUUGUGAGGAAAUGCUAUUGGUCGCGCUUCCGAAAGGUAUGAGUCUACACCAUGACUCACAAAGUUGUUCUUAGGUCCGCCCUGGAGUUUGCGCUGACGACUAGUUGACGAGUUACGACUGCUUAUUAAGCCUGUAGCAUAGCUUGCAGAUC
RNAcentral lists this unclassified non-coding RNA (250 nucleotides) under plant metagenome. RNAcentral describes it as "partial contains small subunit ribosomal RNA, internal transcribed spacer 1, and 5.8S ribosomal RNA". The record is from RNAcentral.